Molecule: ribosomal RNA, 791 nt
Filed under: uncultured bacterium
Lineage: Bacteria
Description: bacterial SSU rRNA
Rfam family: Bacterial small subunit ribosomal RNA
Source: RNAcentral
AGAGUUUGAUCAUGGCUCAGAUUGAACGCUGGCGGCAUGCCUUACACAUGCAAGUCGAACGGCAGCACGGGGGCAACCCUGGUGGCGAGUGGCGAACGGGUGAGUAAUACAUCGGAACGUGUCCUGUAGUGGGGGAUAGCCCGGCGAAAGCCGGAUUAAUACCGCAUACGCUCUACGGAGGAAAGGGGGGGAUCGCAAGACCUCCCGCUACAGGGGCGGCCGAUGGCAGAUUAGCUAGUUGGUGGGGUAAAGGCCUACCAAGGCGACGAUCUGUAGCUGGUCUGAGAGGACGACCAGCCACACUGGGACUGAGACACGGCCCAGACUCCUACGGGAGGCAGCAGUGGGGAAUUUUGGACAAUGGGGGAAACCCUGAUCCAGCAAUGCCGCGUGUGUGAAGAAGGCCUUCGGGUUGUAAAGCACUUUUGUCCGGAAAGAAAUCCUUCGAGUUAAUACCUUGGGGGGAUGACGGUACCGGAAGAAUAAGCACCGGCUAACUACGUGCCAGCAGCCGCGGUAAUACGUAGGGUGCAAGCGUUAAUCGGAAUUACUGGGCGUAAAGCGUGCGCAGGCGGUUCGCUAAGACAGAUGUGAAAUCCCCGGGCUUAACCUGGGAACUGCAUUUGUGACUGGCGGGCUAGAGUAUGGCAGAGGGGGGUAGAAUUCCACGUAGCAGUGAAAUGCGUAGAGAUGUGGAGGAAUACCGAUGGCGAAGGCAGCCCCCUGGGCCAAUACUGACGCUCAUGCACGAAAGCGUGGGGAGCAAACAGGAUUAGAUACCCUAGUAGUCC